This 64-nucleotide transfer RNA is filed under the name Cavia porcellus (domestic guinea pig). It matches the Rfam family "tRNA". Rfam says of the family: Transfer RNA (tRNA) molecules are approximately 80 nucleotides in length. Their secondary structure includes four short double-helical elements and three loops (D, anti-codon, and T loops). Lineage: Eukaryota; Metazoa; Chordata; Mammalia; Rodentia; Caviidae. The record is from Rfam by way of RNAcentral.
GGGGAUAUAGCUCAGCUUGUGCCUGGCAAGCACAAGAUCCUGAGUUCGAUUCCCAGUACCACUA